Molecule: ribosomal RNA, 203 nt
Filed under: uncultured marine eukaryote
Lineage: Eukaryota
Description: partial 18S ribosomal RNA
Rfam family: Eukaryotic small subunit ribosomal RNA
Source: RNAcentral
UUAAAAAGCUCGUAGUUGGAUUUCUGUGGGGACGGAGCGGCCGGCCGCUACUAGCGGUUCGAGCUAGCGCUUUCCCUACAUCCUGCCGCGAACCGCGCUACCAUUAGUUUGGUGGCGCCGGGGAUCGGCUCGUUUACUUUGAGAAAAAUAGAGUGUUCAAAGCAGGCCACACGCCUUGAAUAAGUAGCAUGGAAUAAUAACUA